GGGAUUGCGGCAGGAGUGUAUGGGCCUUGGAAGCUGUCUUCACAGUAAAGGUAGCAGAGAGAGAUAGAUAAUUCCCAGAAGAGAUUCAUAGGGUGACAGUGGAGGAGGGCGGAGCCGGAGGAUUCAAAGAGCUUUCAUCAACAUUCUGUGAAGACAGACGCUGUUUUGAUUUGAUAGCAUGUAUUCAGUCCUGGAGACUUCAAACCCAGGCUCUCUUUAUGAAGAAAGAAGAAUAGUUCAAGUUCCAGAGAAGGAGGCAAAGAAGCGCUAAAUGCCCCCAUCACUAGCCGUCGGAUUCAUUCCUUAGAGUUGUUCUAAGAAAUUGCCACAAACUGGGUGGCUUAAAGCAACAGAAAUUGAUUCUCUCACAGUUCUGGAGGCUGGAAGACCAAAGUCAACAGUCAGCAGGGCCUGCUGGCUAGUCAGGCGCUGCGCGUUCCCCUGCUGCAACAGUUGAAGGAAAAACGGGAGAACGUUCGUUUUCAAAUCUGGCUUUGCUUCUACCAGGUCGAGUGACGCCGGGUGAUGACAUAUAUUUUUAGGGCUGUUCCAAACAGAGCAAGCAAGGAGGCCUUAUUCUUCUUCAGUUUUUUAAGAGGGAUUUCUUACUGGUGAACUCAUUUUGGACCAACAAGAGCUGGUGAUCCUACAGUUUGUGGAUUUUUUUUUUUUUUUUUUACUGAAGGCUUUAAGGUCAAUUAAAGAUUAGUGUGGAAGGAGCUCAUGCUCAGAAAUGAGCUCUGUUUAGCCUGUUAGCACAGACAUAUGAUAUUCCACAAUACAGAAGAAUGUCUCUGAUGUGUCCAAAUUAGAGUUUUGGCGAAACAUUUAGCUGAGCACAGUUGGUGAGUCUUCCUCUGUUCUGAUUUGAAUGUUCUCCUGUUGUCAUUUGGACUCCAUGGUUGACUGGUCUAUUUCUGUGUCCCUACAUCAGCCCAUGUUGGACCUUGUUCAUGAUAUCAGUAUGGACUGUAAAAGCUUUUGUCCUUCAGCUGCAAAGGCUCAAACUUUAUUAUUUUUAUGUAUUCAUUUUACUUUUGUUAGCAGAUUUUUUUCUGGCAGGUUUAUUGAGAUAUAAUUGACGUACAGCACUGUAAUGUUUAAGGUGUACCACAUACUGAUUUGACUUACAUCAUGAAAUGAUCACAGUAAGUUGAGUGAACAUCAUCUCAU
Molecule: long non-coding RNA, 1173 nt
Organism: Aethalodelphis obliquidens (Pacific white-sided dolphin)
Lineage: Eukaryota; Metazoa; Chordata; Mammalia; Artiodactyla; Delphinidae
Exons: 3
Source: RefSeq, a predicted model, not a curated record